GUCCCUAGGAGCUGAGGCCUGGCCUCCUGGAGCUGUAGAGGGGCAGCUCCUCUGUCCUGAACACUGCCUUCUGUGGCACCGGAGCUCACAGGUGGCACCUAGCUCUCUAUUUACAUCUGUCGAUCUCCGUUCCUGGCAGCUCUCUGGGGUGAUUAAAACAUGCUGCACAGUAAACACGAGUCCCUUCCGGGGAAGGCUCUGAGAGCAAAGGCCUCCUCGCCUCCUCGCCCCUCCUGGCAGAGAGGGUCAGCAACACCACCUGGUGCUCACCACAGGCCUUCAAGAACAGAGGCUCCGCAAACACCCAACGCAUCAAAGCACCACUGCCCAAGCCCGCCCCAGGGCCUUGUGCCCGGACAGGUGCUCCGUCCCACCAUUUUGUUUUUUAAUCAACAGAUCCCACGUGUGUUUUGCUAAACAGACAUUAACCAACAUCCUUGAUGUACGAAGCACUCCUCAGAUAAAAGGAGCCGCCAAGGCCCAAGGAUAAAUGGGCCCAGGACAGACUCCUUCACCCCUGCUGGGGGACGGCCCACAGAAGGGCACAGUGCAGCCAGGGGCCCACACCCCGCUGAGACGCCUGGGAAUGCCCCACAAGCGGCCGCGAGGAAAGCUCCAGAAAGUCACCCCCAGGCCUGGGGUGGGCUGGCUGCUGGCCAGGAAGCCCAAUGCAGGGCACAGGGCCGCUUGCCCCCCAGCCCUGAGGGCUCCCGAGAGAGAAGAGUGCCAGCCAGGGUGGCCAACACGGGUGGAGUCUCCCAUGGACACUGCUGGGACGAAGUGUCCCUCCUAGACUCAUGAAGCCCGAGUCCCCCUGCGCCAGUGGAGAUGGGCCUUAAGGAGAUAGCUGAGGUCAAGAGAGGU
Molecule: long non-coding RNA, 864 nt
Filed under: Marmota monax (woodchuck)
Lineage: Eukaryota; Metazoa; Chordata; Mammalia; Rodentia; Sciuridae
Source: RNAcentral